UACGAAGGGGGCUAGCGUUGCUCGGAAUGACUGGGCGUAAAGGGCGCGUAGGCGGCACAGACAGUCAGAAGUGAAAUUCCUGGGCUCAACCUGGGGACUGCUUUUGAUACGUCUGAGCUAGAGUGGAGAAGAGGGUUGUGGAAUUUCCAGUGUAGAGGUGAAAUUCGUAGAUAUUGGAAAGAACACCGGUGGCGAAGGCGGCAACCUGGUCUUCUACUGACGCUGAGGCGCGAAAGCGUGGGGAGCAAACAGG
Molecule: ribosomal RNA, 253 nt
Filed under: uncultured bacterium
Lineage: Bacteria
Also listed under: 1 other name
Description: partial 16S ribosomal RNA
Rfam family: Bacterial small subunit ribosomal RNA
Source: RNAcentral